AUUGAUUACGUGACACACAUAUAGCCCUCAUUAUAUCCAAUAAUAUGAUAUCAUAUGGAUGAAAUAAAAAAUACAUAUUUAAAAAAAUAAUUUAAAAACAAAAAAUAUAUUCACCACCUCUUCCAUCACACACCAAUCCUUCACCCCUAGCUGCUGCCCCUCCGCUGCCUCCACCUCUCCAUAAUUUUUUUUAGGUCAAAUUGUAGCAAUGGUCCCUGGACUAAGACCAAACUUUAUUUUUCGUCAUUUAUAUUGCUAAAUUGUUACGGUGGUACUUUAACUAUGCCUCUACUUUUAGAAAUCGUCAUUUCCGUCAUCUUAGUCAACUUGUUCGUUAAAAAUAAGGGCAUAUUUGUUCUUUUCAUUAAUUUUAAAUUGAUUAAAAUGUUUAUUAAAAAAAAAAAAAACUCUCUCUCUCUCUCUCUGUCC
This 429-nucleotide long non-coding RNA is filed under the name Prunus persica (peach). RNAcentral describes it as "long non-coding RNA (PPER_LNC001920)". The record is from RNAcentral. Lineage: Eukaryota; Viridiplantae; Streptophyta; Magnoliopsida; Rosales; Rosaceae.